Molecule: non-coding RNA, 673 nt
Organism: Cinara cedri
Lineage: Eukaryota; Metazoa; Arthropoda; Insecta; Hemiptera; Aphididae
Source: the annotation of a GenBank genome assembly
GGGUAAUGGUAAUAAUUUAAUGUGAAAUAUGAAUAUCAUUAUCAAAUUAAAAGUACCACAAUUCCCCCAUUUCUCACUAUCUAAGAUAUUAAUAAAAUUAAGUUUGAUAAUUAGCUUAACAAAAGAUUUUAUAUAGAGAUUUGUAAUAAUUAAAAUACUAACAAAUACAAACAUAACAAAAUAAACUACGGUAAAAAAUACUGGAAAUAGACUAAGUUUUAGUCAGAUCUCUCUAAAAAUAUUAAGAACUUCUUUUCUGCGGAAAUAUUCAACUGAAAACUAUCGCAUAUAAUAUUUAAGCAUUUAGUUAAAUGCAUUUAGCUAUCACAGUUUUGGAGAUAUCAAGUUGACCAUCAUUACCUAAUGACCACCGUUCCCUCAGUCUCCCCUAUUUUAAUAUGGUCUGAACAUUUUUAGAAUGGUGGACGGUUAAAUUACCUGGCAUUGGUGAGGUUUAUCUCACCGAUAAAGAUUGAUUUGAAUACAGGAAAUUAUGGCAGUGGAGCUAGAAACCCAAUGGACAGAAAGCGAAGAAUAAUAGGGAUAGGUGGCACAUUUCGUAUUUAUCGAUAACUACCCAUGGUCUUAAAAGCCAAAGCCAACCAGAAGAAGAAGAAAGACGAUUUUUUGAUUGUUUUACUAAUAGACAUUUUAAACAUCAUUUAAUUACCGU